RNAcentral lists this unclassified non-coding RNA (208 nucleotides) under Hevea brasiliensis (rubber tree). The record is from RNAcentral. Lineage: Eukaryota; Viridiplantae; Streptophyta; Magnoliopsida; Malpighiales; Euphorbiaceae.
GUACAACCCUGAAGGUCAGGAUGGUUUUGAACCACAAUUCUUAGCUUGUCUCUUCUACUUUGCUGUGGGACAUGGUAGGGCUCAAAAUCCUCCGCCAUAGCUCCACAGAAAAAAAAAGAAAAAAUCUACACUCGUAUCCUUGAAGAAAGAGAAGAGAAGAGAAGAGAAGAGUUAAGUUUGAUACUAAAGACGAAAAGGACAAAAGUUA